Pelobates cultripes (western spadefoot toad) is the source of this 1158-nucleotide non-coding RNA. Lineage: Eukaryota; Metazoa; Chordata; Amphibia; Anura; Pelobatidae. The record is from the annotation of a GenBank genome assembly.
CGCACAUUUCACUUUUUUAUUAAGAAAGUUUUAUACAAUAUAAAAAAGACACUCUACAUUUCAACAUCUUCCCAUUAACAAUAUUUCAAUAUUUCUCAUUAUGCCUCUCUUUCAGAGACUUUUAUGUUACAUUAAUAUCAGAAGCUACAAAUGAAAUAAAAACAGUAUAUUAGCACACAAAUUUAAACUACAGCCUUAUAUCACAGGACAGUUUUGGCACUGACAUAUAUGUAUAAAAUUACUAGAUUUCUCGAUUUUCCAGUUUUUUUGGAUUGCAUCCCUUAAAAAUCUCAGCCAGCCAAACAGUUUAUUCUCCAGUUUGAUGCAUAAAACCUAGAGGCUCCCUAUCUUCACCUCUGCAUUACUUUCUUGAUUAUUGAUUAAUAGAUACAUGUUUAAUAAAUAAACCCUAUUAUAGAAAUAAAUGCUAAAAUAUUAAAUUUUCUCCAGAAUUAUGAUUAUAAUUCUUUCAAACAACAUGACAAAGCCUCAUCUGGGGGUCAUAUUUAAUACACUACAGUGAAAACCCAAAUUACAAAGAAAGAAGGGGUACAACAAAAAAAACAACAUAAAAAAAACAAAUAAUAUGCUCCAAUACCACCAAAUCUAAUUAUUUUGUUACAUCAGUAAAAAAAAAAAAAAAUUAAGGUUUUUAUGCGCUGUUGCAGAGAUAGCUUUUUUUUUUCUGUAAGACACUUACAAAUUGCAAGGUUUUUGGAAAAGUGCUUAAAAGUAUAACCUGGCUAUAUGUCAAAUUAAUAUGUUUUAGUAUAAAUUCAACAGAUUGACCAUUGAGUGGACCAUAAGGAACAAGAAUUAAUAAUUAAUAAAAUUCACGAGUAAUCUGCAUUUACUGAGUUUUAAAGGAUUUGUCUAAAUUAAAUAAUUUAACUACUUACAAUGAUAGGGAGCCAGGGCACUCCUGGUACCAUAACCACUAUGGCAUGCUGUAAUGGUUAUGGUGCUUGGAGUAUGCUUUAAAGCAGAAAAUGAUUAUAUUUUAAAUUCAAUUCCAAAUUGGCCAACAUCCAUCACUAUUAUUUGAGGAUUAGAAUGACCAUUUAUUGUCGAUUAGAAAAAUAAAUUUGACUGUAGAUUAUACAUAAAAGUUAGUUUGACAACCUAUGCACUAAUGCAUAUAUAUUUUUUCUGUUAUAC